AACGUAGGUGGCAAGCGUUAUCCGGAUUCACUGGGCGUAAAGGGCACGCAGGCGGCUCUGCAGGUAGGGCAUAAAAUCUCCCGGCUUAACUGGGAGGGGCUGUUCUAAACCGCGGGGCUUGAGGGCGGGAGAGGAAAGUGGAAUUGCCGGUGUAGUGGUGAAAUGCGUAGAGAUCGGCAGGAACACCAGUGGCGAAGGCGACUUUCUGGUCCGCCCCUGACGCUCAUGUGCGAAAGCUAGGGUAGCGAACGGG
Molecule: ribosomal RNA, 253 nt
Filed under: uncultured bacterium
Lineage: Bacteria
Description: partial 16S ribosomal RNA
Rfam family: Bacterial small subunit ribosomal RNA
Source: RNAcentral